CGGCGAGUUACGAUUUGAUGCAAGGUUAAGCAGUAAAUGUGGAGCCGUAGCGAAAGCGAGUCUGAAUAGGGCGUUUAGUAUUUGGUCGUAGACCCGAAACCAGGUGAUCUACCCUUGGUCAGGUUGAAGUUCAGGUAACACUGAAUGGAGGACCGAACCGACUUACGUUGAAAAGUGAGCGGAUGAACUGAGGGUAGCGGAGAAAUUCCAAUCGAACCUGGAGAUAGCUGGUUCUCUCCGAAAUAGCUUUAGGGCUAGCCUCAAGUGAUGAUUAUUGGAGGUAGAGCACUGUUUGGACGAGGGGCCCCUCUCGGGUUACCGAAUUCAGACAAACUCCGAAUGCCAAUUAAUUUAACUUGGGAGUCAGAACAUGGGUGAUAAGGUCCGUGUUCGAAAGGGAAACAGCCCAGACCACCAGCUAAGGUCCCAAAAUAUAUGUUAAGUGGAAAAGGAUGUGGCGUUGCCCAGACAACUAGGAUGUUGGCUUAGAAGCAGCCAUCAUUUAAAGAGUGCGUAAUAGCUCACUAGUCGAGUGACACUGCGCCGAAAAUGUACCGGGGCUAAACAUAUUACCGAAGCUGUGGAUUGUCCUUUGGACAAUGGUAGGAGAGCGUUCUAAGGGCGUUGAAGCAUGAUCGUAAGGACAUGUGGAGCGCUUAGAAGUGAGAAUGCCGGUGUGAGUAGCGAAAGACGGGUGAGAAUCCCGUCCACCGAUUGACUAAGGUUUCCAGAGGAAGGCUCGUCCGCUCUGGGUUAGUCGGGUCCUAAGCUGAGGCCGACAGGCGUAGGCGAUGGAUAACAGGUUGAUAUUCCUGUACCACCUAUA
RNAcentral lists this ribosomal RNA (826 nucleotides) under Staphylococcus aureus. RNAcentral describes it as "partial 23S ribosomal RNA". It matches the Rfam family "Bacterial large subunit ribosomal RNA", at positions 621 to 1452 of the family's 2925-position model. The record is from RNAcentral. Lineage: Bacteria; Bacillati; Bacillota; Bacilli; Caryophanales; Staphylococcaceae.